GCCUGACUGGCUCAGUCGGUAGAGCAUCCGACUCUUGAUCUUGGGAUCGUGAGUUCGAGCCCCACAUUGGGUG
RNAcentral lists this transfer RNA (73 nucleotides) under Felis catus (domestic cat). It matches the Rfam family "tRNA". From Rfam's summary of the family: Transfer RNA (tRNA) molecules are approximately 80 nucleotides in length. Their secondary structure includes four short double-helical elements and three loops (D, anti-codon, and T loops). Lineage: Eukaryota; Metazoa; Chordata; Mammalia; Carnivora; Felidae. The record is from Rfam by way of RNAcentral.